RNAcentral lists this long non-coding RNA (224 nucleotides) under Phoenix dactylifera (date palm). RNAcentral describes it as "long non-coding RNA (PDAC_LNC005175)". The record is from RNAcentral. Lineage: Eukaryota; Viridiplantae; Streptophyta; Magnoliopsida; Arecales; Arecaceae.
UAGAGGUUGGUUGGUGAGCCGAGGGUAAAACCAACGUGUAAGGGUUCGAUUGUGAUCCCGAGAAAACAAUCGGGGUGGUUCUAGUCGGUGAGCCAGGGAAAACCGACCGAGUUCGUUGUGAGCUCGUAAAACAACAAGUUGGGUUGUGAGCUUGUAAAACAACCGGCUGUAAUCCGAGAGGUUAUAGUGAAUUCCCAAGUGAGACUUGGGGAGUGGACGUAGGA